Molecule: transfer RNA, 75 nt
Filed under: Streptacidiphilus jeojiensis
Lineage: Bacteria; Bacillati; Actinomycetota; Actinomycetes; Kitasatosporales; Streptomycetaceae
Also listed under: 1 other name
Description: tRNA-Gln
Rfam family: tRNA
About the family: Transfer RNA (tRNA) molecules are approximately 80 nucleotides in length.
Source: RNAcentral
UCCCCGGUUGCUCUGCUGGCACGGGCGGCCAGAUUUUGAUUCUGGAGGUCGCAGGUUCGAUUCCUGCCCGGGGAG